This 2171-nucleotide long non-coding RNA is filed under the name Capra hircus (goat). RNAcentral's name for it is "lncRNA (ENSCHIG00010010351.1)". Lineage: Eukaryota; Metazoa; Chordata; Mammalia; Artiodactyla; Bovidae. The record is from RNAcentral.
UACAGUCCAUGGGGUUGCAAAGAGUCAGACACACACACUACGUUACGGUAACUGUCACGCACCUGGCAUCUAAUGAGUUGCCAUUAAAGGUAAAAUGAAGGAUAUUUACACAAAAACAGACUACAGCAAGUUGCAACUCACAUACCUUCCACAUCACUGAAGGUGCCUGAGAAGACAGUUAAGGUAAUGAAAGAUAACCUGGUCAAGGGUCCCUUUUUGGUUCUAUCUCUGCUUCACAGUUAUCCCCGGGGAGCAUCCCUGGAUCACUCCCUGAGAGGAUGUGUGGCUUUGGACUAAUCACUUACCCUCUCUAGACUGACAUUUUUCUGGCUGGAAUGAUUCCUAAACUUUCCCUUUGCUCUGAAUUUCUACAAUUUAAGUCACCUUUAAGAUUUUGCCUGUGAAAACCAGUCCAGGAGCCCAGGGAAGCUGAAAGCUUCCUUCACUAUGUAGAAAAAGAUUAACUGCCCUAUUAAGAAAGAGAGCCAAGCACUGAAAGUAUCAGCAUUUUCCACAAAGGAUCAACUCUUGUUUCGAUGGCAACAGGCUGUGGUAGCAAAACUGCAAGCUUCCAGAGUGGGCAUGACUCAAAACCAGAGGGCCAGGGAAGACCUUUAGAAGAGCUGAUGGAAUCAAAUUAUGCCAACGACUUUCAUAAUCCUGCUCUGUGUGAGACCCAAGUGGCCCUGGGAUGUUUGCUUUCUGUUGGUCAAAGUACUAGCAGAUGGUGAAACUGAGUGAGGAAAUAUGCCCACUGUGGGUCUGUAAGUAUCUGAUAGAGUAAAGACCGUCUAUUGACUGGGCUUAGUACAUUCUGAAAACUUAAAAUCAAAUGGUCAGUUCUGACACAAAACUCUCUGGCAGGAUUUUUAAAUCAAGAGACUCUCAUUUGAAAAAGCAGAUUUAAAUAAAGAAUAGGUUUUUUGCAUAUUUGUAUCCAGUGAGAUAAAGAACAGCUUCACUGGUAAAAGUUCAAGUCCAAUUUAAAUCUCAAAGGCUAGAAUGAUCUUGUUUUGCAUAGAUGACCACCACUGUCUUUUAGCUACAAAGGUAUGCAAGAGACAGAGAAUCAGUUGGUUCGCAAGUGUUCUUGAGAGCAAUCUUAGGUAAAAUAUUAAUGGCUGUGAGCAGAGAAGGCAGACAUGGUAAAUUAAGAGUUGUACGGAGCAGCCUUCUCAUUUUUGACCCUCUGCCCUUAGCACACAGUAGACAGAAAAAAGGAGGACCUUUACAUCCUACACAGGUAUAAGCAUUUUCCUGGGGUCAUGGCCAUACAACUUCAUGUAGGGACUGUGACCAGAGAAUAACCAAUAGAUAAGGCCCUUAGGAAAACCUGACAUCCCACAUACCAAAGACUAUAAAUCAGCUACUUUAAAUAAUCAAAGAACUAAGGGAAAUCAUGUAUAAAGACGUAUAGUAUGAUAACAGUGUCUCAACAAAUAGAGAAUUUCAAUAAAGAACAGAAACUAUAUGUAAGAAAACCAAAUAAGAAUUCUAGGGUUGGAAAACACAAUUACUGAAUUAAAAAUUCUCUAGAGGGGCUCAAAGAAGAUUUGAGCAGGGAGAAGAAGGAAUUAAGAGACUUGAAGAUAGGUCAAUUGAGAUGAUCCAGUCCAAGAAACAGGAAGAAAAAGGAGUGAAGAAAAAUGAACUUAGAAGUUUAAAGAACUGUGGGGAACCCCCCAAAAUACCAGUAUAUGCAUAAUGGAAGUCCCAGGAGGACAGGGAAGAGAUAGAAAGGGGUAGGAAGAAUAUUUAAAGAAAUAAUAACUGAAAAUUUAUCAAAUUUGAUGAAAAACAUUAAACUACACAUCCAAGAAGAUAAACAAAAUCCAGAUAAGAUAAACUCAAAAAUGCAAAGAUUGAACACAUCAUAAUCAAACUUUCAAAAAUAAAAGCCAAAAAUAGAUUCUUGAAAGCAAGAGGAGAGAAGGAAUUCUUCACAAACAAGGAAUUCUUAAAGAGGCUAACAGUUGAUUUAUCAUCAGAAAUCAUGGUGGCCAGAGGCAGUGGUAUAAUACAGAAGAAACAUAUCGAAAGUACUAAAAGAAACUUGUCAACCAAGAAUUCUGUAUUUGGCAAAAUUAUCCUUUAAAGAGCCUCUUGAUGAAAGUGAAAGAGCAAGUGAAAAAGUUGGCUUAAAACUCAACAUUCAGAAAACUAAGAUCAUG